GGCUGGUCUUGCACUGCUCCUGCUCCAGCCGUGACCCGGCUCCCACCUCGUCCCGUGAUCGCUCUGCUCUCUGCUCUGGUCUUCGGCACAUGACUCACUUUCUGGGACUCGGCCCGUGCUCACUCUGCUCCCAGUAUGGCUGAGACAUGCUGGUCUGGUCUCCAUCUCCAUUCUCCACUCCCUCCAGAGUGUUACAAAUGAUGGACAACCGUAAAAAUGGGCACAUCUAUUUAACCACAGCGAUGCUGGAUUGGAGUCAUCUGUGAAAGAGAUUGGAUAAGUAUGGCUGGAGAGUGCCAGAUGAAAGAGGCAGCAGUGGCAGCAAAACCAGGACUUAACAUACAUGGCUCCACCCCAGACCGAAGUCUCUGAGGAACACGUCCUGGGCUGACUCCCCUGGCCCGGAUUAGCAGGCUAGGCCAAGGCUCCAGUUCCGCAGCUUGGCCUGGGUGCCUGAGGGAGGAGAAAGGCAGUCUUGGCCCAACAUGGUGAUCUCCCACUGUGGCUGCAUUGCCCUAGCCUGGAGGACUUCUUCAGUAGAGGCUUCCAGCCCAGAAUUCCAGCAGCCUGCGUGGUAGUCUCAUCCCGGCAGCAUCUUCAGGAUAUUCCAUCGGUCCUUUGUUGGCUUUUUCUGAGCCCAGUAGCCGUUAACUGAACUCUGAUGAACUUUGUCUUAAUUUUACUUUUUUAAAUUAUAUAUGACUUCUGUAAGCGCUGUGGUGGGGCAACUUAAAAAUGUCUCAUUGUAUUUUUCAUGCAAAAAUACACAUGGCAAUAAAUUUCUAUUCUGUUCUAUUCCAGGCGCUGGUAGAUGACAUUUGGCCCUUCUAGGUGCAUAGCUGUUCAAUUAAAAUCAUGGCUUAUCUUUUGACCGAACUCCACUUUACUGCACUUUCCCCAUUUCCCUUAAUCUUAAUAUCCAACCACUGAUCAACAUCAAUCUUGAAUGCACACAACUAUACUUCAGCAUGUGGAUUACAGCGUUUCAAAAAGUCUGACUCCAAUCUCCUCAAGGGCAACUGGGGUUGGAUAAUAAAUGCUGGUCCUGUCUGAGAAUAAUCUCUUUUAAAAAAAAUGCUUCUCUAAUGGCAGCAUCAUCAGCUAUACAGAGUGUCAGGAGCAUCACGUAACAUAUUAAACUCUCAACAUGCCUUGAAAUAAGGGAGGAGGAAAAUCAAUUUCCAAGC
Molecule: non-coding RNA, 1187 nt
Organism: Chiloscyllium plagiosum (whitespotted bambooshark)
Lineage: Eukaryota; Metazoa; Chordata; Chondrichthyes; Orectolobiformes; Hemiscylliidae
Source: RefSeq, a predicted model, not a curated record